CAAAACAUAGCUUAAUUAAAGCCUCUUGCUCACACAAGAAAAUGUCUACUAAUCUAGACUGUUUCAAAA
This 69-nucleotide transfer RNA is filed under the name Eleutherodactylus leoncei. RNAcentral describes it as "tRNA-Val". Lineage: Eukaryota; Metazoa; Chordata; Amphibia; Anura; Eleutherodactylidae. The record is from RNAcentral.